ACUAAUGAUGCUCCUCUCAAGUGAUGCAACCCUUGGCGCUUAACUUCUUUCGCCAAGCAUAUUACACGCGGUAAAGCCGCUAAAGGAGAAAACAUG
RNAcentral lists this non-coding RNA (96 nucleotides) under Streptococcus sanguinis. RNAcentral describes it as "preQ1-II (pre queuosine) riboswitch". It matches the Rfam family "PreQ1-II (pre queuosine) riboswitch aptamer", at positions 12 to 99 of the family's 99-position model. From Rfam's summary of the family: Q is a hyper modified nucleoside present in some anticodons in tRNAs (Try, Asn, Asp and His). The record is from RNAcentral. Lineage: Bacteria; Bacillati; Bacillota; Bacilli; Lactobacillales; Streptococcaceae.